Hemicordylus capensis (graceful crag lizard) is the source of this 375-nucleotide long non-coding RNA. RefSeq lists it as uncharacterized. NCBI's taxonomy places the organism in Eukaryota, Metazoa, Chordata, Lepidosauria, Squamata, Cordylidae. The transcript is spliced from 2 exons. The record is from RefSeq and is a predicted model, not a curated record.
UGCACCCAGGAGGAUUGGUCACCAUGGCAGCUGGCCCGGCCACGGAGGCCAGAGGCGGUGGCGGGCCUGGCCCAGCUGUGGAGGCAAGGCCCAGGAGGGGGGAAAGAGGCAAAAGGUACAAUCGGCAAAAACAAGCAAGCCCCAUGUAGAAGACAGCUGAUUCUAUCUAAGGAAUGGAAUGAAGACAAGAUAAUGUUGGAACAAGAGAUGUACUUCAUGAAAUUCAGACUUCAGGGUCUGAAUAGGCUGACAGGGCUAUAUUUUGUGUCAACAUAGAUGCUCUUCUGUGCUGUCCUACAUGUCACUUUAGAAAUGGCAAAUUUGAAAAGUGGCAUGUAGGUCAAGAGAAAUAAAGCGAAAAAUAUUUACAAGAAA